AGGACAAAAAUUUGAUUUAAUAUUUCCGCAGAUGCCAAGUCUUUGGUUGAAAACGCAAAAUGUAUAAAAUCUCCAAUUUGGUGGGCUAACAAGAUCUCAGUCUUGGGGCAUGUGUUGGCUAUCCAGAGAUUUACUGUAGCAAACACCUGUGAAAGAUAAAGGGGCGAGGUCACGGGAGCAGUUAGAGAGAAAUGUCAGAACCUGCUGCAGCUCUGACACCUGUGAAACGAGAGGGAGGAGGAAGAAGGUUCUGGAGGCAGAACCUCAGAUCGCAAUGCAGCUCUGAGAAAGUCUGAAUCAGGCUGAUGGGGAGUUUCAGAGCAAAGAUCGCCGGGUAGAGGACUCUUGUGUUGGCCAGGAACCGCCAUCUCCCCUAGCCCUGUGGGGCCCAGUCGUUGACUGGGGGCAACCUGGGAAGAGAGUGGCUCCAUGAGAAUGCCGGGACAGAUCUAAUAGAAGCGGCAGCUGACGGUGGCCAGCUAGCUACAUUCCUUGCAGCAAGUUCUGUCUUGAAAGAUUUGAGCAGUGUACUUCCAUAGAGGUCACAGAAGGUGAUAGGAGCCAAAGCAGUCCAGCAGCUCAGAAGAAAUCAUUGAAGAAAGUUGCAGGUACAAGCCCUUAGAAGCAAAGCACCCAGAAGCUGGGGGAUGGAUGCUCAGGACUGGUCUGUUUUCUGGGAAGCCCUCAGGUAUGUACACCGCAAGCUGGGAUAGAGGAAACUACAUGCUUCAUUAUGUGGAAAUACUGAAAAGCAGAGCAAGGAGAAUAUCAAGCUUCAACUCUAACACCCAAAGAACACUUCAACUGCUGUGAAGCCACUUCUGUGAGCAAACUGGAGGGAGUGGUUCUGCCCGUCGAAUCAUAGAAGCCCAAAGCCGCCUGUAAGAAUGUUGGGCUCACGGGCAGCUGAGCUGCUACCUGGCCUUGCGAUGGCGCAUGCGCGGAACAGCAAGAAACGUAACGGAGAGGGAAAAACACGCACCUGAAAUGAAGCAAAGACUUCCGAUAGAUAACUAAUUAGCAUUAACAUUUUAAUUGAAAACUCCUGGAAAACAAUGAAAAUUGAUAGCCCCUGAAUUUACUCUUAUGUAAAGUGUUAAUCAGGGAACUCUGAAGAAGUCUUUUGUUUGUAUUAAUUUUGUUUUUUAAGUACAUGAAUGAAAUCCUCUAAGUUUGACCUCUUACACUAUAUGGUUUUCAUUCUAAAUGUACAAGUAGAAGCUGACUCAUGAAGUUAUAUGUAGCGUCCAUGAAAACAGUGUGUUAGGAGGCUGCCAUCUUAUUAUUUUCAUAUUUAUUUAAAAUGUAUAUAAAUGUAUUUAUUUUUAAAUAUAAAUAUUUUUAUUUAAAUAUAUUUUAAAUGCAUCAAUCCGCAUCCUAACUCGUAGUUCAGAGAGAUGGUACGGAAACAGUUUUGUGUUCGCUCACUUGAACAAGCCACCUCCAAUUCUUCUGGGAAGAAGGCACACAUAAUCAAACACGUAAAUGAAGAAAUGGAUGCUAGCUUAAACAAAAAUAGGCAAUUUGAGCCUGUGCUGACAUCAUAACAAAAUUGAUGUUAUUUUACUCAGGCUUUAUUUUCCGUGGAUCACUGACUCGUCAAAAAUUAUAAGAAACUCUCAAACUUAUAAUAAUUAGGAAAAAUGUGAUUUGUCCUUGCCCUCAGCUCCUUUCAAACUUUGAUUUUAGAAAUAAAUUUGCUUGGCUAUGUCUAUUUAUGAUAUCAUAGAAGAGUUCGAUUUUAUAAAGUUAUGACUAGCACUUGCAUUUGGCAGAAACUCUAAUCCUUAUAACUAGGAAGGGAGAAAAUCUUUUCAAUCCAAACCUCUCUGAAUGUGUGUUUAAUGCCUCUAUCCCGUAAAAAAGCUGCUGCCGUUGUUGAGUCGUUGGUGCAGGACUCAUUCCGGGGCUUUCCUCAGUGUUGGCUUUGAACCAUCUCCAGCCUCUAUCCUGUUGCCUGCACACCGGGACACUUUAUCUGUGCGUGGCUUGGGCUCUGCAGCCGUCUCUGUUCUACCACGGCCCCUCCUGCGAUCUCCAGUGCUCCUCUCUACCCCUGAUGCUGGGCCUGGGCGUCCGGCAUCCCAUCCCUCCUGGCUGGGCCCUUGGUGCUCGGGACCUUCACUAAUCUGGAAGUGGGAAGUGGACAUCUGCAGAGACUGGUCCUCCUAUGCAUGAUAAUUUAGGAAACAGAGCAGAAAUUUGCCAGGCAUUACCAUUUCUAAUGAGUGACUUUCAUGCAAUUAUACUUUUUAAAGAUUAUAUAAAAAGAGACAAAUCGUGUGUCUGAAAGAUUAGCUAAAGUUGUAGUACUUUCCCACUAAAAAGAUUCUCCUAUCACUCUGGAUGGCUUUGAGAAAAGAACUAAAACAAAACAGAUCAUCAUGAAAACUAUCUAUUUCUUGUAGCAAGAGUUCACAUUAGCUUUAAUUCCAUUUUUUUUUGUAGGAAAACAAAAUGAAAACCAGUACAAUAGUGUUGUGUGUGUGGGUUAGUUUCUAAGCAACCCUCAACAAAUCUAGUGCUGCAGACACUAAGUAAUCUUCUUAGACUCUGUUUCUUUGUUUCGAGCUUUGCCAACUCGUCUAGUCCAGGCUCUGUUUCUGCUAGAGAGUCACUGAGACAGUGCAAGGCUGAUGGUGACUCUCUUCUCCUUAAAGCAAAUCUGUAAAAACAACAAUGUCCCCUUUAAACUCACGGGAACAGCCACCAUCAAGCCAGUCCAAAGUUCUGUGCAUGUUCUCUCUUUCCAGAAUGCUCCAUCGCUCUGCUUUGUGGUCCCUAGUUGCCCCCCAUGACCCACCUGAAAGGGCUCCCCUGUGAAAUCUCUCACUUUCCCCUCUCAAGUUGAGCCGAUUCUACUUGAUGCCAUAGCUGUAUACUGCACAUAACUAUUUCUCAC
This 2902-nucleotide long non-coding RNA is filed under the name Equus asinus (donkey). RNAcentral's name for it is "lncRNA (ENSEASG00005023696.1)". The record is from RNAcentral. Lineage: Eukaryota; Metazoa; Chordata; Mammalia; Perissodactyla; Equidae.